Non-coding RNA from Chelonoidis abingdonii (Abingdon island giant tortoise), 102 nucleotides. The record is from RefSeq and is a predicted model, not a curated record. Lineage: Eukaryota; Metazoa; Chordata; Testudines; Testudinidae.
GUCUGUGUGCUGGGAGACAGAGCCAGAGCCUAAAAUAAUAAAUAAAAGUAUAGGAAGUUUCACAGUGGGAUUUCUUACCAGCCCCAAAGGAAGAAGCAGAGG